Molecule: ribosomal RNA, 252 nt
Filed under: uncultured bacterium
Lineage: Bacteria
Description: partial 16S ribosomal RNA
Rfam family: Bacterial small subunit ribosomal RNA
Source: RNAcentral
CGAAGGUGCAAGCGUUACUCGGAAUUACUGGGCGUAAAGCGUGCGUAGGUGGUUCGUUAAGUCUGAUGUGAAAGCCCUGGGCUCAACCUGGGAAUUGCAUUGGAUACUGGCGGGCUAGAGUACGGUAGAGGGUGGCGGAAUUCCUGGUGUAGCAGUGAAAUGCGUAGAUAUCAGGAGGAACAUCCGUGGCGAAGGCGGCCACCUGGACCAGUACUGACACUGAGGCACGAAAGCGUGGGAGCAAACAGGAUU